Long non-coding RNA from Oncorhynchus tshawytscha (Chinook salmon), 357 nucleotides. The record is from Ensembl. NCBI's taxonomy places the organism in Eukaryota, Metazoa, Chordata, Actinopteri, Salmoniformes, Salmonidae.
UUACCCCAGAGGCCAUUCCUCCUGUUCAUAGUUUAAAUGAAGAUGAUCCACAUGAUCAUCAAAGUUUGGAAGGUCAAGUCCAGAAAAUGAAGAAUGAUAUCCUGGGUUUAAACUAUCCAGAAGAUAGUGAAGUGAAGGAUCCCCUGCCUCAGAUCGAGCUGAAGGCUGUGACAAGGAGAAAAGUUAAGACCAAGAGGAGGACCAGUGCCAACAGGUCCACAGUUGAACAGAGCACUGAUAGUGAUGCGGCUGAGAGAGAUUUUGUUGAUAAUCAGAAUGAUGAAGAUGAGGAAAAGGUGAAGAAGGAUCCCCUGCCUCAGAUGCAGCAGGAUGCCGUGAAAAGAAAUAAAGUCAAGG